RNAcentral lists this ribosomal RNA (588 nucleotides) under uncultured bacterium. RNAcentral describes it as "bacterial SSU rRNA". It matches the Rfam family "Bacterial small subunit ribosomal RNA", at positions 338 to 916 of the family's 1533-position model. The record is from RNAcentral.
CCUACGGGAGGCAGCAGUGGGGAAUAUUGCGCAAUGGGCGAAAGCCUGACGCAGCAACGCCGCGUGGGGGAUGAAGGUUCUCGGAUUGUAAACCCCUUUCGAUCGGAACGAAUCUCCUCCUGGUAAAUAAUCAGGAGGAUCGACGGUACCGGGAGAAGAAGCCACGGCUAACUCUGUGCCAGCAGCCGCGGUAAGACAGAGGUGGCGAGCGUUGUUCGGAUUUAUUGGGCGUAAAGCGAACGCAGGUGGUUUGGUAAGUCAGAGGUGAAAGACCACAGCUUAACUGUGGCACUGCCUUUGAUACUGCCUUUCUAGAGUGCAUGAGGGGGAAGCGGAAUUCCGAGUGUAGAGGUGAAAUUCGUAGAUAUUGGGAGGAACACCGGUGGCGAAAGCGGCCUCCUGGACCGAUACUGACGCUGAGACGCGAAAGCGUGGGGAGCAAACAGGAUUAGAUACCCUGGUAGUCCACGCUGUAAACGAUGGGCACUAGGUGUGGGGGGUAUCCACUCCUCCCGUGCCGCAGCUAACGCAUUAAGUGCCCCGCCUGGGGAGUACGGCCGCAAGGUUAAAACUCAAAGGAAUUGACGG